AUUGAACGCUAGCGGGAUGCUUUACACAUGCAAGUCGAACGGCAGCGCGGACUUCGGUCUGGCGGCGAGUGGCGAACGGGUGAGUAAUGUAUCGGAACGUGCCCAGUAGCGGGGGAUAACUACGCGAAAGCGUAGCUAAUACCGCAUACGCCCUACGGGGGAAAGCAGGGGAUCGUAAGACCUUGCACUAUUGGAGCGGCCGAUAUCGGAUUAGCGAGUUGGUGAGGUAACGGCUCACCAAGGCGACGAUCCGUAGCUGGUUUGAGAGGACGACCAGCCACACUGGGACUGAGACACGGCCCAGACUCCUACGGGAGGCAGCAGUGGGGAAUUUUGGACAAUGGGGGCAACCCUUAUCCAGCCAUCCCGCGUGUGCGAUGAAGGCCUUCGGGUUGUAAAGCACUUUUGGCAGGAAAGAAACGUCGCGGGCUAAUACCCCGUGGAACUGACGGUACCUGCAGAAUAAGCACCGGCUAACUACGUG
This 484-nucleotide ribosomal RNA is filed under the name uncultured bacterium. Its description in RNAcentral is "partial 16S ribosomal RNA". It matches the Rfam family "Bacterial small subunit ribosomal RNA", at positions 30 to 507 of the family's 1533-position model. The record is from RNAcentral.